Bombus huntii is the source of this 1730-nucleotide RNA transcript. It is a transcript of the gene named DNA-directed RNA polymerases I, II, and III subunit RPABC5, with no coding region annotated. The transcript has 4 exons. The record is from RefSeq and is a predicted model, not a curated record. NCBI's taxonomy places the organism in Eukaryota, Metazoa, Arthropoda, Insecta, Hymenoptera, Apidae.
UAUUAGUUCGUUGGUCACGUACCAGGGUGCAUUUAUAAUGGAAAGCGUUGAAGUAUUUCAAUGUUGGAAUUACCUGCUGUUCCCCAUAGUUGGAUUCUGCAGGUUCAGACAGGUUUUAUUACGGUCUUAAUGAGGGUAAUUUUAUUGUGUGUGCUUAUGACGUUGUUAAUGAGAACCAUUUAAAGAGAUUUUCGAAUUCGAAAUACGAUUUUACUUCCGUUACAUUGUUUACUACAAGACAGUGGCCAUUGUAAUAUAAAUUUGGGUUAAAUCUCUACAAUAGCAAUAAAGUAGUUGUGCUGGCAACACUGUUUCAAAUGUUAGACUUUAAGUGUUUCAAUCGUAUCGCAAUCUAAACGAACGAUAUUAUUGAGCAAGUGGAAUUUACGUUUAUCAACGAGAAUAUCACUUUGAAACUAAAAAAUCCGACUGCUUAAUCAAAUUAAAAACACGAUGAUUAUACCUGUACGUUGUUUUACGUGUGGAAAAGUGAUCGGUAAUAAAUGGGAAGCUUAUCUUGGUUUGUUACAGGCAGAAUACACUGAAGGUGAUGCUCUCGACGCAUUGGGUUUAAAACGAUACUGCUGCCGUAGAAUGCUUCUUGGACACGUAGAUUUAAUUGAGAAGCUUUUGAAUUACGCACCAUUAGAAAAAUAAAAAUGUGAAGUAAAAAUUCUCUCAUUUCACUUUAAAUAUUAAGAUACAAAUUACCAAUUAUAUAAUAGGAUAUUGUUAUUUAUACAGAAAUAUUUCUUAGGAAAUGUAUGAUGACAAGGAAUAUGUAGAAAUUUCCAACAACUGUAUAAAAAGUCAAUUGAUUUAUAACAAGUUCGAUAAGCAAAAAUUGCUUCGGAAGGAUUUUGCUUUCUUUUAAAUGUACAUUUGUAUUAAAUGCAACACAGUAGAAUGAAACAUUUGCUGCACUGUGAAUCACAUACAUGAAACAUGUUAUGGCUUGUUUACAAAUGUUUGAAUUAUUACAAUAAUACAUGCUAUUAAAUUUAGGAAGAAAAAUGAAGGUUAUACUUUAAGAUUUGAUUGUUAAUUUAUAAGACUAACAACACGCAAACAUACUUCUCUAUGUAUUAACAAUUUUUAUAGAUCUUAAUUGUAGCUAAAAUUUUUUAAAAUUCUUUAUAUGUUUCAAAUAGGGUACAGUUAUAUGUGCAGAAUAUAAAAAAAUGUUCAAACGUAAUUUAUCAUUAUAAUAAAGUAAAAAAUUCCAAUUUGUUAAAUAAAUAAUAUCAAUCAAAAUUAAUUACAACGUAUUGCUCCGAUGUAAAAUAUUUCUUACGAAUACUGUUAACUUCUCUCAGUCUAGUAUCUUCACGAAUUAAAUAGAAUAUAUAUAGUAUAUAUUAUGUUUUAGGAACAGAGUAAGUUACUAGAUAUAUUUUCAAAUUAGUCACUUAUUAACGAUUAAAUCUUCUCAUAUAACCUCCCCUAAUAGUUCUCAUUUUAUAAUAUAAAUUGUUUGUGCGUAGAUAUUAUUUGAACUAUAUCGAAUGUUAGUUUUCCAAUUUCUCAUUCUUAAAAGAAUUUAAUUUCGAUUCAUUGAAUUCUCAUUUGCACAACAACCGAAGUUACGUUGGUUAGAAUUCAUUCUAUCUUACUAAAAUACUAGGACAUGUCUUGUAAGCAUAAUAUGAUCGCAUCUAAAUUUCUGAUAUAAAUUUUACCAAACUUCUGAUUAUACGUAUCUUACAAAAUAAAUUGAUAUCUUCAAUUUA